CUCAGCUCUGGCCUGCAUGCUGCAGAUGUCAGAGGAGGUUCUGGAUGAGUUGGACCUGCUGAAGUACAACACAUCAGUGCAGGGACGACAGAGAUUGAUUCCAUCUGUGAGGAACUGCAGAAAGGCUCGAUGGAAGUGAUCUCUGUCAGAGAUAGGUGGUGGUGUUGAGAGAGGGUCAGCUCUGUCCACACAGUCUCUGCAGACACACUGAAACUCCACCACUCCUUCUCCUCCACACUCAGCCACGUCCUCCACCUGGACCUGGACUCUAGCACUGUCGCCACACAGCAAGAAGGUCAUGGGUUCAAACCCCGGUUGCCCCAGACUUUCUGUGUGGAGUUCGCAUGUUCUCCCUGCCCACGUGGGUUCUCUCAAGGUGCUCCGGCUUCCUCCCACCAACCAAAGACAUGAAGUCUAGGUUAAUUGGUGUCUCUAAAAUUGUCCUUAGGUGUGAGUGGUUGUUUGUCUAUGUGUGGCCCUGUGAUGUGUGUGCCCCGUCUUUCGCCCAAUGUCAGCUGUCCAGCCCCCUGCGACCCAGUACGCAGGGUAAGCAGUUGACAAUGGAUGGAUGCAUAACUUGUUUAAAUGUUUUCUGUUGCAGCUCUGCCUUGUGGAUUAAUGAAGAAUUGCAAUUAAUUUCGACAUUAUAGUUCUAACAAACGUGAAAACAAAUAUUAUAACUCACAGACACAUGAAGAUAGUAUCAUAGUAUCAUUGUUAUUAAUGCAAGAUUAUAUCUAUUAACUUUUUUAAAUAGUGUAUUUUACUAGUAAAUCCAAAGAUUGUUAAUGCAGAAAACUGAACUAAAGAACUGCAAAGUCUGGAGAUAAUUAUCUGUGGGUUUGACACUAUCAUUGUUGGGCAAGUUACUUAUUACGCCUUAAAAAAUUGUAAGUAAUAUUACUUUACUGGGUGAUAAAAAUAACUAUUUACGUUACUAUAUUACUUUCACUAACACCUCCUCCCUUCCCCCCAAAACAAAGCAGACUCUUCCGACUCACGACUUUUUAACUAAUAUUAUAAUCACAACAGCAGUGUGGAGUAUUUUUUUACAAAACACAUAACGUUUCUUAAUGCAACCGGCUGAAAUAAAAAAAAUAAAGUAAGUAAAUCCCAACUUUUGAUCUUUUUCUGCACAUGCAUUUAUAAAAGGAGUAUUCAGUACUUUUAAAGAACAUAAAACAUUGCUUAACGCCAUGCUUUCUCUCGUUGAGUGCAUGCAUCACUAGCAGCAGCGACCAGAAUUUGUUUCUAUAAGUUUCACAUUGCUGUGCUGCUUUAACAGAUGCUUCAAUCCAUAUCAACUGAUCACAGAUAUCAUUGUAUAUGUUGGAUUAAGUGAUCCUUAUCAAAAUGUUAAUUUAUGUUAUUAUGAACUGAUAUUUCAUAAUCAGAUUUUCUGAGAGUUUAAAGUCCUGCUAUUGUUCUUUAUAAAGUUUGACUCGAUGUGGGAGAGGAGACAAGUGAAACAGUAAUACAUGACCAGCAACUAAAUUCAUUUUACAGUUCUGAAAGAAGUCAGACAGACAGAUAGCCAGAGUUUUUAACUGGUAGUGCAAGUAUAACAUAAACUGUAGAGUGGUGUUUGUAUUUGUACAACAAGGUAAAUUACAUGGCUGAAGAUUUAGAAUAACCACAGUCUAUACAUACACAGGUAUGUAUAUCCAAGUGUGUACUAUAUCUGUAUUGUAGUCACACUUGAAAUGUUGUUGAAUAUCAAAAUGUUAAAAUAAGAUCUAUCUUACUUGAGUCUCAUCAGUGUCCUGGUACCUGUGUUACCUGAGCCAGACCUAGGGGUAAUCUGGACCGGCAGCAAAGGUUACACAGCCACUGUGGAUUAAUAAAGAGAUGAGUUAGCGUCUUGCUCAAGCCAGAGCUUGUUUAUUUCUGACUACUAGUACUAAACAUUCCACAAAUAAACAACAAAUGAUGUAAGCAACUGACAAUAUACUAUAUAAAGCAUUCUGCCUUAUGGAAAAUAUGUACACAAGGCAUUGCUCUGGUUUGUGUUGUGCAGUCGUGUUACAAUGGAAGAGGAUGUUGUGUGCAUAAAUGUAUAAAUUGACAAUAUAUAAAAAUAAAAACAA
This is a long non-coding RNA of Micropterus salmoides (largemouth bass), 2087 nucleotides long. RefSeq lists it as uncharacterized. The record is from RefSeq and is a predicted model, not a curated record. NCBI's taxonomy places the organism in Eukaryota, Metazoa, Chordata, Actinopteri, Centrarchiformes, Centrarchidae. The transcript is spliced from 2 exons.